UUUCGCAUGUAGGGGUAAAAUCCGUAGAGAUGCGAAGGAACACCAGAGGCGAAGGCGCCUUCCUGGAUGAGUAUUGACGCUGAGGCGCGAAAGCGUGGGGAGCAAACAGGAUUAGAUACCCUGGUAGUCCACGCCGUAAACGAUGUGCACUAGAUUUUGUGGGUAUUGACCCCUGCAGAGUCGUAGCUAACGCAUUAAGUGCACCGCCUGGGGAGUACGGUCGCAAGACUAAAACUCAAAGGAAUUGACGGGGGCCCGCACAAGCGGUGGAUUAUGUGGUUUAAUUCGAAGCAACGCGCAGAACCUUACCUAGGCUUGAAAUCCUACGAAUCUGAUGGAAACAUCGGAGUGCUCUUCGGAGAAUGUAGUGACAGGCGCUGCAUGGCUGCCGUCAGCUCGUGUCGUGAGAUGUUGGGUUAAGUCUCGCAACGAGCGCAACCCCUAUCCUUAGUUGCCAGCAUUAAGUUGGGCACUCUAGGGAGACUGCCUGGGCUAACCAGGAGGAAGGUGGGGAUGACGUCAAGUCCUCAUGGCCCUUAUGUCUAGGGCUACACACGUAAUACAAUGGUAGGCACAGAGGGAAGCGACCCGGCGACGGUGAGCAAAUCUCAAAAAACCUAUCUCAGUCCGGAUUGGAGUCUGCAACUCGACUCCAUGAAGUUGGAAUCGCUAGUAAUCGUGGAUCAGCACGCCACGGUGAAUACGUUCCCGGGCCUUGUACACACCGCCCGUCACACCAUGGGAGUUGGUCUUACCUGAAGCCGUGGC
Molecule: ribosomal RNA, 768 nt
Filed under: uncultured Halobacteriovorax sp.
Lineage: Bacteria; Pseudomonadati; Bdellovibrionota; Bacteriovoracia; Bacteriovoracales; Halobacteriovoraceae
Description: bacterial SSU rRNA
Rfam family: Bacterial small subunit ribosomal RNA
Source: RNAcentral